Molecule: transfer RNA, 64 nt
Filed under: Actinomadura luteofluorescens
Lineage: Bacteria; Bacillati; Actinomycetota; Actinomycetes; Streptosporangiales; Thermomonosporaceae
Description: tRNA-OTHER
Source: RNAcentral
AGGUAGAUGGCUUGAUCGGUGCUGGUCUCCGGAGCCGUGUGCGCAGGUUCGAAUCCUGCAGGGG